GACACGCUGGCGGCGUGGAUUAGGCGUGCAAGUCGAACGGUAUCAUCCUUUCGGGGGUGAGAGAGUGGCGAACUGGUGAGUAACACGUAGGUUAUCUACCCUCAAGACGGGGACAACCCAGGGAAACUUGGGCUAAUACCGGAUGUGAGCAACUUUUAGUUGUUUGAAAGGUGGCGUAAGCUGUCGCUUGGGGAUGAGCCUGCGUCCUAUUAGUUAGUUGGUGAGGUAACGGCUCACCUAGGCAAUGAUAGGUAGGCGGCCUUAACGGGUGGUCGCCCACACUGGGAUUGAGAUACGGCCCAGACUCCUACGGGAGGCAGCAGUCGAGAAUAGUCUACAAUGGUCGGAAGACUGAUAGUGCGACGCCGCGUGAACGAUGAAUCCCUUCGGGGUGUAAAGUUCUUUUAUAUGUGAGCAGUGCUUCUUAUAUUAACAGUAUGGGGAGAGAGAUAUUAGCAUAUGAAUAAGCAACGGCUAACUCCGUG
RNAcentral lists this ribosomal RNA (485 nucleotides) under uncultured bacterium. RNAcentral's name for it is "bacterial SSU rRNA". It matches the Rfam family "Bacterial small subunit ribosomal RNA", at positions 33 to 507 of the family's 1533-position model. The record is from RNAcentral.